GGCGGUGGCACCCGCGCCUCGCCAACCGGGCUCCUCCUCCUGCUUCUCCUCCCCACCCCACCGAGCCCUGACACCCGCUCCGCGGGGGUCCCCGCCCAGUGCCCUCCGGGCAGGAGCCGGGACUGGACACCGAACCGGGAAAGGCGCUGCGCUCCGGGUGGCAUCGCCCUGGGAGCGAUGGGGUCUUGCUUGCCGCCGUGCGCCCUCGCGGGAUUCGAUCCGUCUGCCCUCUUCUCCACGGGCUUCCCGCCCGCAGCAGCUGUCUCCGGACACGCACAUUCAUUCACACAGCCGCUAGCAAACCCAUUCUUGUGACUCCCAGGGACCCGAGGAGCCACGGCGCGGAGAGAUACUGUACAACAGACAAGCUAAUGGAACAACUUUGAGACUGCACUGUUAAAGAUCCAACUGGCAAGCUUCUGACAUUUCCAGUGAAAGAAGCUGUCUUCUAUUUUCCUGUCCUUUGGAUGAUGGAGUCAACCAGAUGUUACUCUGUUUUACAGGACAGAGCACCCGCUUCUUCCUGUCAACUGGACACCAUCCAGAGCUCCAAGCGGGCACCUGCAUUUCCUGAAGGACACCUAUAGUUCACUGUCACAUGGGCUUUCCCAGCAUGGCCACUGACUUCAUGAAGCCAGCAAGGAGAUUCACCUGGCAGAACAAACUCUGAUGUAACAGAGUCACACAGGGACCACAACAAAUGUGCACAUCUUAUUGGCCAGAAAGCUGAUCACAGGCUUCACAUAUGCUCAAGGAAAGGGUAUUAUACAGGGGCAUGAACAGUAGGAUAAGUCUGUCCAUUCCAGUGGAUAAAAGGAUCCAUUAUGCCAUUCUUAUCCAUUGUACCUACUUAUGCUUAUGUUUAGAUUUUCCAUAAUGAAAAUAAAUAAAUCAUUUAUUUUAAAUUAUAUAUGUGCUGGGCUGAGCAGGAGGAUCACAGGUUAGAGCUCAACCUAGCAAGACUCUUUCAAAAACUAAUUUAAAAGGGCUGGAGCUAUGCUUCAAUGGGAAAGCCAUGGUUUCAAUCCCCAGUACCACUCACACACACACACAAAAAAGUUCAAGGCCAGCCUGAGCAACUUAGCAAGAUAGCAAAACAAUGUCUCAGAAUAAUUUUUAAAGUGUUGGAGAUAUAGCCCAAUACUCCCUAGCUUCAAUCCUCAGCACUGCCAA
This 1173-nucleotide long non-coding RNA is filed under the name Heterocephalus glaber (naked mole-rat). Its description in RNAcentral is "lncRNA (ENSHGLG00000049883.1)". Lineage: Eukaryota; Metazoa; Chordata; Mammalia; Rodentia; Bathyergidae. The record is from RNAcentral.